This 165-nucleotide ribosomal RNA is filed under the name uncultured rumen bacterium. Its description in RNAcentral is "partial 16S ribosomal RNA". It matches the Rfam family "Bacterial small subunit ribosomal RNA", at positions 363 to 524 of the family's 1533-position model. The record is from RNAcentral.
AUUGGUCAAUGGGCGAGAGCCUGAACNNGCCAACCCUUNGUGCAGGAUGACGGCCCUAUGGGUUGUAAACUGCUUUUAUCGGGGGAUAAAGUGAGGGAGGCGUCCCUUUUUGUAGGUACCCGAUGAAUAAGGACCGGCUAAUUCCGUGCCAGCAGCCGCGGUAAU